GACUGCAGGGAUGAGGAGGCUGAAGGACUUGAUCCUUUCUUGUUGGUUCCUGCUGGCUUCCUGUUUGCUUGAAGCUACUGUAAAUAUCACCCUAGCAACACUCCUUCUCCUGGGCAGCAAGUUAUUAGCUCACCCAAUCCAGAAGAAUGGAGAAAUAUAAGCAGGGAGAAAUUCUUGUGGCUGAGACUUGAGACUGGCCAGAUGUUUACCAAAUGAAUUUCCACCAGUUCCUGGGCAUCCAUCUCCUUGACUUCAAAGAGAAUUUCCCGGAAUGAAACCACUACACAGCGAAACAAUCUGUCCAUCUUCUGCUUCCAUUGUAUUUGAAACUCAGCAUCAGUAUCUGUGUACAGCUGAGCCCAGUGAAGUGUUGAAUCCGACAAAAACUCCAGCACUCUACCACAUGCCAAUGGAGUUCCUUUGCAAAGCUCCUGGUUCCCAAAUGGAAAUCCUGUCUUGGCUCUUUGGAGGCACUGACGAGUUUUGAGAGAGAGCAGACCAAGACCUGGAUGUUUACAAUUAUGUGUGCUUUUCCUUGACAUCAGUGCUUUAACAUGUGGAUUGAUCCUGUGUGGUCCAUGCAUAAAAUCAGGGGGUAAGCAGUAUUUGAGGA
This is a long non-coding RNA of Myotis lucifugus (little brown bat), 613 nucleotides long. RefSeq lists it as uncharacterized. Lineage: Eukaryota; Metazoa; Chordata; Mammalia; Chiroptera; Vespertilionidae. The transcript has 3 exons. The record is from RefSeq and is a predicted model, not a curated record.